AUAUGCAGAUCUGACAUAGAAGACCACGUUCCUCAGGGAUCCCAGAAUAUAUUAGACAAUAUGGUAGUCCAAUGCUGUUUUGAAGUAUAUAUUGGCACCAUGCUGAAAAAGGACAUGACAGGAAGUGAAGACGACCAGUCAUCGCGCCAUAUUCCCGUGAGCUCCAUUCAUAUUACUAUAUGCUUAAAACAUCGUGCUCUCCUUCUCUACAUCAUGUGGUUUGGUAUCAAACUCUCAAAAAGGAAAAACAACUUUACUCUGUUUUUUGGAGAACCUUCCUGUAGAGUACCUUGACAGAGACAAAUAUGCGAUCAAGGAUACAUUUGAUGGAUUUUCACGCAAAACUUGGAGGAUAUUUUUUGCAGAUAGUUUGGUGCUCUCAUGGUUAUUUUAUAGUGAUUUUUCUUCUGUUCAUUACUUGGUAACCAUCUACUGCAGCUUAGCUAUUGUCCAGUUGCUGACCUUAUGGUGAGUGAUUGAUGGUGCAUGUUUUCCUAUUAGUUUCUUUCUAUGCCAAUGUCUGAAUUUUAUCUUGCCGUUUUGCAUUUCUCCAGGCCUUUCAUUCUCACCGUGAUUCCCCGAGAUGCACUAUUAGUAGGCAUCCACUUUCUAAUAAAAAUUUGGCAGUCAACUUGAACGAGUCAUUUAUCUAGCUACAGCAACCUUCCUUGCUUUUGCAGUCAACUUGAACGAGUCUAUACCUGCCAAAUAUUUACACGUUAGUAUAGCCAGAAAGUCAGAUGAUCGUUCCAUGUUGGUUAGCCGUGAUAAAUCAAAUUUCUAGAGUAGCAGAUGAUUCGUGUCAGGUUUCCUUUAGAGAUUGAAAUAUGUCUUGACUCUAAAAUAAGUAGUACAGAGUCCAGUUCUGCAUAGGUGAAAGCAUACUAUCUAAAACUGGACGGCCUUCUAAAGCUCUGAAACUACUAUUUGUUGUGUAAUCUGUAUCCCCUUUUCAUACUCUAUAUAUGCUUUCUACUUACUAGGAAAAAAUGCGUGAGAGCGAUGUCUUGAGGAUGCGAAUUGCACUCAAAUAUAUGCAGGUUUCUUGCCAAAUUAACUGCCACUAUUUUAUUUCAGGUGCUUCUUCUGUAACUUAGUGUAUUUUGCUGGCUCUUCUCAUUUCCUGGCGAACUUUUUAGUCUGUACAGUCGAAUCGUUGGAAGUUGUUUUCUACUAUCUAUAGAGGUUUUAUCCAAGCUAUUAGCUGCCUGACUUGCUUUUUUGAAGUACGCCAUCCUGAUAGACCAAGUGGACCCACACAUUUCCAUGGGAUUUUAGAAAAAUAUAUGUGAAUUUGCAUACAUUUUCUAAAUUUCUAUCUUUUCUUAUCCAUGCUUCCCCAUAGAUAUAUAGCAGGCUCAACAAAAAUGAAUGUCCGAUUGUGUUCAAAUUUCAAGGAAGUGUGCUUCACGCUUCUCUUUCUGCAAUAUUUUUCAGAGUAUAUGAUUUAAUUUUCCUACUUUCCCAGUUACAAUACUGUGUACUUCAUUCUUAGCUUUGCUUUGGGAAAAAUAGGUAUGCAGGUUAUCGAAAGCUCCAUUUUUCUCCAUUAUAUAGAUCAUAUAGCUUUGUGAUCGAAGGUAGGUUGUCACAUAUGGGAUGUUGCUUGUGAAAGUUAUAUACAGCCAUGAGUCCCUGACAAAAUAAUCGCAACUCAUGUUACUAGGAUCAGGGAACCUCGACCAUUUUUCUGAAACAUGUCGCAGCUCAUGUUCCUACUUUCCCAGCUACACUAUUAUGUACUUCAUUCUUACCUUCGCUUUUGGAAGUUACAUUGCUUUCUUUUCCCUCAUAAACUUGCUAACGAUAUUGGCGAAGUAAUCCCCACUUCAUAUUUCCCAUUGAAUAAAUAACUAAUUUAGUUUGUUGAAAAAUUGUAGGUCAAGAUCCAUGAAUAGGAGCAAGGCAUCACACCAGCUCUGAGAAGAAAAGGAUAUGAAGACAAAGAUAGACCAGUGUUCUGCUCCGAAGCAAAAACAUUUUGCGUGUAAUAAUGAACUGUAAUUUACCACAAUCUCUCUACAACAGGCCUACCUAUUACCAGUCCGUUGCUUGCUUUUGUAUUAGGAAGUAUGACCCAGUCAUAUAUAUUUACAUUCACGUUGUUUAGUUAUGGUUUGUAUGCAUGAAAAUACCUUUUUAAUCUAGCUUCAAAAUUCUUAUGUGCAGUGAAAUUGUAUCUAGCACUUUGUAAAGAACAAAUGAAACACAUUUCAAAUAACUCUUUAGUCUAAAUUGA
Molecule: non-coding RNA, 2239 nt
Organism: Aegilops tauschii subsp. strangulata
Lineage: Eukaryota; Viridiplantae; Streptophyta; Magnoliopsida; Poales; Poaceae
Source: RefSeq, a predicted model, not a curated record